GUGUCCUGUAGGCCUCUUACUACUCCCAACUUGUCUAUAACACAUCUCAUCAUUUGUCACUAACCCUCCUCAAGUUACCAUCUUUCCAGAGAAAGUGCUACAACCUCUACAGAGAAGUUGAUACAGGUGUCUCCACUAAGAUCCUUGUGAGUGCACACAACUUCAAUCUUUAUUUGCCUCUUGAUGCUUGAUUGAGAUGUCAUCCAUUCUAUGACUAAUGUCCUAUCAGAAACACUCUCCUGACUAUGAGGCAUUCGAUGGAGUUGGCGAGUGUUGGAAGGAAGCACACCCCAGAAGACAGGAAAAGAUGAGACGCCAGUGUGCACAAAGACAGGGCAAUGCACAGCGAGUCCUAGGACCUGGAGGGCCACGGUGCAAGAGACCAGUGCAGGAAAAGCAGAAGAUCCCACUGGAAACACUGAACUCCACCAGGCUGCUGCACAGGUUGGCAGGGGGUGGGCGCAGGACUGGGGUGGGAGUGAAAAGGCAUCCCUUGGCCAGCAGUGGAGUAUGGAGGAGUAAGACAGGAUCUACUACAACUAUAGAACUCUCCAGCCUGGGCUGUUGCUCCAAGGAAAGAAACCACACAUCUGGAUGCAGCUGUUCUGGUCUGUUUUCCACAGCGCUUCAGCCAUUUGCACAGAUGGGAGAUUUCCCGCCGUUACAGGUGGAGCACAGAUUCUGGGGGUCCGUGACUUGCCCAAGAGUAGCAGGAAGCUGGCUCCCUUCCUGUGGCACUGAUGGACUGAUGAAGGGCAGGGGCUCUGGAUGCGGUGAGCUCACUGUUCCUGUGUGACAUGAGCACCCACUGGGUCAUCUUCAGAGUAAUGGGCACCGGGGCUUCUUAGGUGGUCUUCUCCUCCCAAAUAAACAGUGAAAUGACAAAAUG
Molecule: long non-coding RNA, 889 nt
Organism: Mesocricetus auratus (golden hamster)
Lineage: Eukaryota; Metazoa; Chordata; Mammalia; Rodentia; Cricetidae
Exons: 3
Source: RefSeq, a predicted model, not a curated record